UACAUGGAGAGUUUGAUCCUGGCUCAGAGCGAACGUUAGCGGCGGGCCUAACACAUGCAAGUCGAGCGAGAAAAGGGCUUCGGCCCUGAGUAAAGCGGCGGACGGGUGAAU
RNAcentral lists this ribosomal RNA (111 nucleotides) under Kofleriaceae bacterium. RNAcentral describes it as "partial 16S ribosomal RNA". It matches the Rfam family "Bacterial small subunit ribosomal RNA", at positions 1 to 111 of the family's 1533-position model. Lineage: Bacteria; Pseudomonadati; Myxococcota; Haliangiales; Kofleriaceae. The record is from RNAcentral.